UACAGAGGUCUCAAGCGUUGUUCGGAUUCAUUGGGCGUAAAGGGUGCGUAGGUGGCGUGGUAAGUCGGGUGUGAAAUUUCGGAGCUUAACUCCGAAACUGCAUUCGAUACUGCCGUGCUUGAGGACUGGAGAGGAGACUGGAAUUUACGGUGUAGCAGUGAAAUGCGUAGGGAUCGUAAGGAAGACCAGUGGCGAAGGCGGGUCUCUGGACAGUUCCUGACACUGAGGCACGAAGGCCAGGGGAGCAAACGGG
This 253-nucleotide ribosomal RNA is filed under the name uncultured bacterium. RNAcentral describes it as "partial 16S ribosomal RNA". It matches the Rfam family "Bacterial small subunit ribosomal RNA", at positions 524 to 776 of the family's 1533-position model. The record is from RNAcentral.